Molecule: long non-coding RNA, 7396 nt
Filed under: Ananas comosus (pineapple)
Lineage: Eukaryota; Viridiplantae; Streptophyta; Magnoliopsida; Poales; Bromeliaceae
Source: RNAcentral
AAGAUCGCCCCUCUCCCACCCCCACCCCUCCCAAAAAAGGGUUUGCCCUAACUUCUCACCCCUGCGGCGGCGGUGCGGCCCUGCCACCGACCGACCCCAGCCCCCAUCCCUUCCCUUCCGGCCGCUCGCCGAACGCCAUCGGAAGCCCCCGCGGGGCCACAUCGAAGAUCGGGUUCUUCACUCUUCAGAAAUCGAAACCCUCCUCGUCGCCUCUUCCUCUUCCGCUUCCGCCUCCGCUUCCGCUAUCCAACGAUGGAUCAGUAAUCGGGUGGUUCUUUAUGAACCAGGUACGAUUUGAGUUUUCAUUCUUCAAAGCAAAAGUUGGAAGCUUUUAGUCCAUCUGAUGGAUACUUUUUUAUACACAAAUGGCUCGAGUGCUUAAAUUGAAUGUGUCCAUUCCCUGUUAUGCACAAAGAAGACCCAAACAUAGAGCUGAAUAAUCUUAAUCAACUUAGGGACCAGGAACUCUUGUAUUAUACCUAAUCAAUUUCAUUCAUGAUCUUGUCGCACUUGCAAAAGGAAAAUUUUGUUGUGGUCUUUCAUGGACCAUUGACUCAGUGGUCUUUUAUGUAUCUUUUAUUUGUUUACUGUUUAGACUUUAGAAUUUAGAUAUGCUAGUAUGCACUAUGCAAAGUGCCAGUUUCAUCUUGUAUUUAGUUUCUAACUAUGCUUGUAUGUGAACCUUUUAUAUUUUACAUAAUAUAGUUUACUAUUUUUUUUUUACUUAAUUAGUUUAAUUUUCUAGCUCUUUAUUCUUAUAUUCUUAAAAAAAUAUGAGUAUUUAUGCUAAUAGCAUAAAUCUUGAGAGAAAAAAAACUUAAUUUAAUAGCCGAAUUUUUUAUCCCGAAUUUUUAAUUGGUGAACGUAUAAUAUCCGUAUAAAUCACGUAUCCGAAUAAUUGGCGAAUCCGUUUUUUAGCCCUUUUUUUCAACAAAUUUAAAAAUUAGAAGGCGAAUUUUAUCCGAAUUAUACUCAUACCGAAUUUUUGCCGAAUCCGAAUUAACUAACUAUGGUUCCAAUCAACGUCCUUGCCCUUCAAUAAUCUGAUUCGCAAUUGGGCCCCAUAGUCGAGUUUUACUAUUUCUUUCCUCUAUAAAUAUAAAUUUAAAAGGCCGCCCAUUAUCGAAACCCCAAUCCGCCGCCUCUUAUUCGCGGAGACAGCGCGAGCACCUAGAGGAGCGGAGCAAGCGCCUUGCGCCUCUUUUCUUUUAUUAGGGUUUAGGGUUUCCGAUCAUUCCGCAGAUUUCUCCUCGAUAUUUCCCUAUUUUCUUCAGUUUUGGUCUUACCAUAUCUGUUGGAUUCAUCACUAUAGUUGAUGAUCUGGUGAGAGGAGCAAGAGACAAGAUGCUAAGUAAGGCGGGAAAUCUCUCUCCUCCCCAUGGAGGAGAGAAAUUUCCCUACAUACUUCUUCUAAAACCCCAACCCCACUAUUUAUCCCGUUAGAUGUGUUUUAUAUAAAAAGAAAUUUCUAAAUUUUUUUCGGUACCUGUUUCCUAGGAAUUGAACUUGGGACUACUUGGGCCCUCACGCUUGAUAACUAGCGGUGGAUUUUCAACUUUUGUUUAAGACUUUUUACAUGUAGAUUUGAUUGUGUACAAACUAUCUCUAUCUAAUUUCAUGGGCAUUUUUAUCGGAUUAGAAUGCAUCGACUUAUUAGGGAUGUAGUAGUAGUGGUUAUGUUGGUGGACUGAGCAGAUGAUGUUACACUGCAAAAUUGAUGCUGAGAUUUUAUGUCAUUGAAGUAUCAAGAAUCGAGCUUUUUAAAACUGAUGCUCUGCCAAGUACUCGCGUUUGUGCUUGGUUGGUUUGUUGAUAGAUGAGAUCGUCGUAUUCUUGAUUGCAUGUGGUGAGCUUCUUAUUGGCGGUCUUAUGGCAAAAUGAAGAAUAUUUAUUAGUUUUUUUGAAUUCUCUCUAUCAAGCUUAUCGGGAUUUAAUGGUGGUUGGAUUGGUAGGCUGGGCAGAUGAUGUAACACCUACAAAUAUGAUGCUGAGACUUGAUGUCCUUGAUGUCUCAAAAAUCGAGCUUUUUAAAACUGAUGCUCGGCCAAACAUUCGCGUUUUUUGUGGUUUGUUAGUAAUGCGAUGGAAUCAAUGCUACAUGACUCAUCAAUGCUGUACAACAAGCAUUUCUAAAGGAAAAUCAAUGCUGUACAACAAGCAUUUCUAAAGGAAAUUGGCUCAUUUGAGCUACAUGACUCGUCAAGUUUCAAAUGAAUUCGAUUGAGUAGAUAUCAUUGAUGCUUGAUUUAUGUCGCUACAUAGUAUCAUUUGAAGUUUGUGGCUUGUUUGAGUUAAUGAGGAGAGCUCUCUCUUAACUUCCGGCCGUUGUUUAUUCACCGGAAGUUUCUUUUCUGCUAUAUAUGCCAUUUGCUCUCUUUUCUAAAUUAUAUGAAGAGCGAGCCUCGAGUGCUCAUAGUUUUUGUGGAAUCUAUUUUAGCUUCAGAUUUUUUGGAUGACUUUAAUGAGCAAAUGAUGAUAUGAAAACAUGAUUGAGCGAGAUGUCUCUAUGAAAUCUCACAAAAUCGAGCUUUUUAAAACUGAUGCUCAGUUGAUUCUGUGCCUGCAUUGUUAUACGGGUACUUAUCCAAACUUGAAAUUUUAGUAUUUUGAAGGUCUUAAAAUGGCUCAAAAUGCAUGUCUAGUCAAUUAAUCCACUAUUUGUUUUUUUGAUUAUCAGUUCACACUACCUAGUGACAGCUUCAUUCUUUGAAUCUGUGCUGAUUGUUGAACUUCUCUGUUGAGAAUAUUCUGAGUUUCACCAAUUUGGGGCGCCUAAUGUCAGGUGAAGUAAAUUUGCAUUAAUCUACUUAAGAUAUCUUACUCGCUUUAAUUGUUAUGUUGAACACUGGUUGUUAUAAAAGGAUGUCUCAUAUUGCAAAAUACUGUUGUUACAUAUUUCACUAGAUUAUUCAUCUAUUAUUCAAGCAUGUGGGUGUUUGGCCUCGCUUCUAAAAAAUGAUUUUGGACCCAAAAGUGAUGGCUGGCUCAAUAGAGUGUUUAACAACCUCAUUUUCGAAAUCUAAUUCUGAUCUUUAGAAUCAGUUUUCCUAAAAUCGGAAGCAGCAAAAACCUACUUUUGAAAUCGUAUUCUGAUUUUCAACUCCAACCUCAAAUUUUUAUUUUAAUUUUUGAUUCAAAUUUUAAAUUUUUAAAUUCAAAUUUAAUUUUAAAUUUAUAUUUGAAUUUUUUAAUUUCAAAUUUUAACUUUUAAAUUUCAAAUUUCAAAAUUUUAAAUUUUAAAUUUAGAUAUUAAAUUUCAAAUUUAAAAUUCAAAUAUCAAAUUUUAAAUUUUAAAUUUUAAAUUUUAAGAUAAAAUUUUGAUUUUGAAAUUUUAUAAUUUAAAAUUUAAAAUUAUAAGUUUUGAUUUUCAAAUUACAAUUUCCAAAUUUAAAAAAAUCAAAUUUUAAAUUUUUAAAUUUUUAAUUUUUAAUUAAUUUUAAUUUUAAAUUUUAAAUUGUUAGUUUUAUAUUUUUAAUAUUCAACUUUUAAAUUUCAAAUUUUCAAAUGUUAAAAUUUUAGGUUUCAAAUUUCAAAUUUAGAUUUUAUAUUUGAAACUAAAAAUUUAAAUUUUAAAUUUUAAAUUUUCAUAUUUUAAAUUAAAAUUUCAAAUUUUAAAAUGUUGUGCAAAUUUAAAAUUUAAAAUCUAAUAGUUAAAAUUUUAAUUCAAAUUUAAAUUUGUAGUUGAAAUUCAAAUUUUUAGUUUUUUAAAAUAAAAAUUAGUAAAAAAAUUUAUUAUAAUGCCAACAUCGAAAAGGUUUUGCCAAACAGCUUUACAAAAUCACUUUAGAAAAAUCGCUUUUCAUCUAAACUUGGUCAAAUUCUUUGCAAAUUAAUUUUUCAAACUUGCAGUUAUAAUUCACACGGUGUGAAAUGAAGGGUGGAACGGAGGAUGUAUAGACAGGGCGGGCAAAUGAGCGAGCUAGCUCGUGUUCGACUCGCGUCCAGCUCGAUAUUCGGCUCGCUUGAGCUCGGUUCGAAUUAAUUUCAAGCCAAGCUUGAGCCUAAAUUUAGGCUCGAAAUUAAUUUCAAGCCAAGCUUGAGUAUUAUUGGGCUCGCUGGAAUUAGGCUCGAAAAGCUCGAAAUAUAUAUAUAUAUAUAUAUAUAUAUAUAUAGAGAGAGAGAGAGAGAGAGAGAGAGAGAGAGAGAGAGAGAGAGAGAGAGCUAGGCCGGUAUACUAUCGGUAGCACAGAGACCUCCGUGCUACCAAGUUGUUUUCAAUGAUGCGGCUUACAAAUCGACGAUAGGCUCCGUUAGACUUGAUCUACACACUAUUAAAAGUAUUUGGAAACUAAAUUUCAUAAUUUUUCGUCAUGAUAUAUUAUUUUGUGCAAAUGAUGAUUCAUGGUUUACUUAAUGGUUCAUUUUAGGUGUUAAAAAUAAGGUCAAUUGACUUUACUGGUGAUGAAUGAAUAUAGUCGGAACCGAUACAAAAGAAAAUAAUUUAUAAAGCUAAAAAGCUAAUAUAAUUGACAUCAAGAUCAUUGAGAUUUAGCUUUAUAAAGCUAAUAGCUAGAUUAGAAAUCCUCAAAACAUGAUAUAUUAUUCAAAUUAUGUUGUUUAUUAUUUCAAGUAUCUAGUAUCUACAAAGCCGAGUUAUAUCCAUAAGUUAAAUGAUAAAAAAAAACUGCUAUAUGUUGUUUCUGACAUCUUUUACCUUUUUAGCCUUUUCCGAUGAACUUGAGAUUAAACAUAUCACAUUUUUCUUUUCUUGGUUUAUUUGGGACAUCAAUAGCCUGUUUAAACAAAACAGUAUUUUAUAUUUUUCUUUCUCUUCAGACCAAACAAAUUAGGUAACACCAAACAUAUUCAUUAGUAAUACAACAGGGCACUCUAUAUAUUUAAAAAAGCUAAAAAUAAAAGAAAUGUUGUGUCUUUCCUUUAAUAAAUAUAUAUAUGACAAUCUUUUUCAGUUGCUGUGGAAGACCCUGUAGGCAUCUAAUGACUCUCUGCAUCAAGUUUGAUUUGUGAAAUGGUAUUGAAUUGUUGUUUUGUAGUGGAGGUUGCUAAAGCGAAAUAUUCUAUAUUUAGAGCUGCUAAUUUUUGGACCAGUUUUUUCAUGCUGAAGAUUUGACAUACGAUUUCAGACUUAAAAAGUUAUGCAUUUCUUUCCCUUUCAGGGAUAGCUUGAUGCCUAUUGUUUGCCCUAAGCCUAUCCGUGUGCUUGAUAGCUUUACCUCCCUUCAGUCCCUAAACAUAUUUAUUGUGGGCAAUUUUCUUUUUUUUUUUUGAGAGAAAAAAAAGUUACCACGUUAUCCGCUUCGUUUAUUUCAUUCAGAAAUAAACUUAGCUAGAAAUGUGAAUCAACUAGGAUUUGAACUUGGGUCUUGGGUACCAACCACCAAGCCCUUUGCGACUUGCUCUAGGGACGGUCGGUAUUUUUUUUUUUUUUUUCAAUUUUAUUAGGACAACAAUAUGAUGCUGAACAGCUGAAAGAAAGGCGUUACCCUUAUGUGAACUGUCACUUGACCGAGUCCUAGAUCCAGUAACUUAAUUAAUCUGCUAGUUGCUUUAGAACCUUCUCUUUCAAAUUAUAUGUGAAGAGAUGCCCAUUUUGUUUUGUUUUUCCAUAAAAUUGCUGUACAGUUUUCUAAUUUUUUUUAUGCUUUUUCUUUUGCAGAUUUAUCUUGUGGGAACUAGUUAGUUACGAAUAUGCUAAAAUCAAAAGUUAGGAUUGGUUGGCGGGAGAGAAUACGACAUACAUGAGACUUGUUCUUUCUUAUUUAUUUCUCAAUUGCAAACUUACAUGAUUCUGCUGUUUUGCCUGUAAUUGAGCUUGUGAUUAGUUUUCUGCUUCUGAGACUAUAGUUGAUGUGCUAAAAAUGUACCAAGAUACCCGAUACCUGCAUUAUUUCUUACUUUGCUUUCUGGACUUGUUUUGUGCAAAAACUUUAUCGGUAUGAUGCCAUAUCGCAUGGUGGCAGUGCGAUGGUUAUUCAAACACGAUCAAGGGGCAUCAUGUUUGAAACACGGUGAAUCACUCACUAUGAUCGAAAGAUAUGAUGAGUGUUAUACAGGUGGAGGAGUUGAUAAAAGGGUAACAUUGCUGGGGUGUGAGUGGGAUCACAAUCAUGAGAGUGGUUGUGACGCCCCAACUUCCCAGGGGGUCACCCAUCCUAGGACUACUCCCGUCCUAGCACGCUUAACUCUCUUAACCUCUUGGGUCUUGCCACCACCCAAAAUGCUUAAGCCGGGUUAAGAGUUUAGCCCUAUUAUAUCUUAUAUAUAGGACUAUCUGGGGUCUCACAAUCUCCCCUCCUUUAAGCCCUGACGUCCUCGUCAGGCUCAGACUCACAAGUACCAGGCGAUGUGAGACUCGUCUCGCUAGCUCGUCAUCCAGACCCUGGCUCAGCCGAGACUCAUCUCACACUUCCGGCUGGUAAUUGGCUCUGAUACCAUCUGUGACGCCCCAACUUUCCAGGGGGUCACCCAUCCUAGGACUACUCCCGUCCUAGCACGCUUAACUCUCUUAACCUCUUGGGUCUUGCCACCACCCAAAAUGCUUAAGCCGGGUUAAGAGUUUAACCCUAUUAUAUCUUAUAUAUAGGACUAUCUGGGGUCUCACAGUGGUUGGACUGGAAAAUCGCCACGAGGGACCAAGAUUAAUAUAUCGAGCACAAAUUUAGUUAGGAUACUAUUCUUAUUGUUUUUGUAGUAUGCUAAUAUGGGUAUGGGAUGUUCUUUGAGGAAAGUGUAAUCCCACCCAGCUCAUGUAUAUAAUUUUACAUUGCUCCAACAUAAGUCAUCUUCCGCAUUUUUGUGAGGGUAUUUAAUUAUCUAAAUCUGAAUGGGUAAAAUUUUUCACCGUAUUUGAUAGAAUAGUCAUGAUAUUUGCUAUUAUUUUUAUUCUAAAUUUGCACUUUUUGGACGAAAGUUUUUACUUUUGGGGUGAAAAUUAUACUGUUUUUUCUUGCAUGGCCUCUCCGGCUUCACUAGAUCCUCCAACCCCACAAAGGUUUUCAACCCCGCUUAGGCUCUGUGCUCGCCGGUCGCCUCCUUUCCACCCCGCGUGCUCUAAGCUCACGCCCACGCACUCCUUGCCCUCCUUGCUCUUAACCCCACUGAGGCCGCACUCGCCUCUGACCCCUCCGAUUGGCGAGUUUUUAGAAGUGAGUAUGGUGAGUGGCGGAUUUGCUGCGGCAGAAAUUGAGGGCGGAGAGGAGAUGGGUGCAGAAGAAGCAUGAGGAAGCGGAGAGGGAAGGAGGAGAGGAGAAGAAGCAAUGCAACUUUUGCCCAAGGAGUGCAACUUUAGUAUUAAAAGAUGUAAUUUUUUUUUCAAAAAAUUAUUAACUUUCGUCUAAAAUAGUGCAACGUUCUUUUGAAAUAGUGCAACUUCAUCUUCUUUUUUCGCUGGUUCUUAGCUUUUUUUUAGAAUAAAUUAUUUUUUUAUUUUUUAUUU